RNAcentral lists this long non-coding RNA (2978 nucleotides) under Capsicum annuum. RNAcentral's name for it is "long non-coding RNA (CANN_LNC008159)". Lineage: Eukaryota; Viridiplantae; Streptophyta; Magnoliopsida; Solanales; Solanaceae. The record is from RNAcentral.
UUAAGAGAACCUCCCUUGCAGAAUAGUUUUUCCCUAUUAGUAAAACCUAAUAGAAAAGAUUUACAGAAAAUCUUUUAGAAAACUAAGUGUAAAGGUUGACAAAGUUUACUCAGAUUAUGCUUUUCAGAAAGAUAACAAUUACAGACUUCAAGUUUUAGAUUUCAAAUUUUAGAAGUAACCUCUUUCUACACUUAGACAGUAUAAUUUAUGAAUAUAAUACGAGUAUAGCUUUUAGAACUAAAUUUUAUGAGUCACUAGUUUUAUAAAAUAUGAUUGAUUUAUUAUUCAUGAUUUCAGUAUUUCAAAUAUUCCAGCUCAUGUGAGUCAUUUAUAUUUAGCAUACAUUGUUAAAUAAAUUAUGAUGAUUAGAUGAUGUUUUACUGAUUCAUUUCACCCCUGUAUACUUAAUACAUCCUUAAAUUACUGAUCCACAUAUAUGUCUAUGUGCUAUAUUUUCUCAUAAUGUAGGUUUAGGUGCUCAGUAUCAGCAGCGUGAGUAGUUGGAGCAUCUCUAUCUACAUCCUACAGUUGGUGUGUCCUCAUAGUUCGGGGACUUGUUCACUCAAAUUUUGCAGCUUAUCAGUUUACAUGAUUUAGUAUUCUUUUCAGAUAGUUUGAGUUAGCUGGGGGUUUGUCCUAGUGACUCUCUAGAUGUAAGUAGUAGAGGCUUGUCAGACUAUUAGUUGUGAUUCAGCUUAUUUCAUAUUGAUGUUUCAUACAUUAUAUUCAUAUUACUCUUAGUUAUUUCAGAUAGCUUCUGCAUUCAGUAUGCUUUCAUGUCUAUGUUACCUUGAUUAUGAGAUUUAUAUCUAAUAGAAGGCAGACAGGGUUAUAUUAAGUCUACUCAUAGUCUUGAGCACUUGUUACAUCUCAUGAUCAGAUUUCAGGGCAUUACAGAUAGUCUGAAAAACUCUAAAAAUCAUAAGGAGUUGAUGGGACAAAUCCCCAACCACCUUCGACCAACUAAACUUAAAGAAAUACUAAACUAACUAUAAUAACUCACAUUCUCGAUUGAUGAAGACUCACCACUACUGCUCCUAAGUCAUAGUGAGCUAACUAAGAGCGAUUCGUCUAAACUUAUGUUAUAAGACAACACAAUGCAAAAGAAAAAUAUUUUAUCUAUACUUUGAAUGUACUGGUACUAAGGUAAGGUCAAACUAAAUUACAUAAGAAAACUGAACGUGGAUACAUGAAUAUGAAAUAGUAAGAAUUCAACACCAAGUAAAAUAUGAACUAAGAUAAUCUGUAUAACAUGAGUAACUAAAUGUCUGACAACUGUGCCCUCGGUCAUUAAAACCUGAUCUGUUCUAGCCUGAAUACUGAACUGAGACUGGGAGAGCUAUCAUGUAAUUAACAUGCCCCGAUCUGAGCCAAUCAAGGUCCAACCUAUAACCCCAGUUAAAAGGGUGUUAGUACCUUGCCAUGGGUACUAACACUUGCUGAUGAUCUGGAUCCAUAAGGCUGAUGUCUCGAAGGACUAGGGAGUCACCCCUCUACUAGCACGUACCCUUAAAAUAUUGUCAACCCUCUACUGGCAGGAUGACCUCUAAUACCUACGCUACCUACAUAGUUCUAGAACUCAGGGACUUCUACUAAAUGUUACACCCUCUGCUGGUACGUAAGCCCCUAUCCCUAGGUUCACUUGGUGCUAAAUUCUACUACCAACUGAACUGACACUAUUAUUAUUAUUGGUUUAAUAUGAUGUGGUAAUGUACUGAUAAGUGCUCAUCGUGAACAUGAUAUUCUAAAUAUAGUAAUACAAUUUUAUUUUGACUGACUUAUUACUUGAAACCUAAAACAUAUAAAAACAAAUUGGUAUCAGGUGUUCAUAACCCUCAAUGAUACUUUAAAUAUGAUAACAUCAUUUAAACCACUGGUAUAAAAUCAUAAUUCAGGGACCCAAAACAUAAAAUAGUUCACUAUACUGAUGUAUUACAUGAAUUUGAACAUAGGAAUGAGUUAAACUUGGGAGGAUAACAUGCUCAUAUGGUUUAGUUCAUAGCUUGAUAAUUUAACAUGUGAUCAAUUGAAUGUGACAUGGGUAAUUGAAAUUCAAAGAAAAAAAUAACCUAAUUCACAUGGAUAAACAUGUUGACAUAACUUGAAUUCAAAUUACUAAGAAAAAUGGAUUAAAUUAACUAUUUACAUAGAUAAUUUUACAAAAAGAAUUAAAAAUUCAUACUUGAAGGAAAAAGGUAUUUGGGAAUCAAGGGGUGGAAGUAACCCAUUGAAGAAUACCUUAUAUACUUCAAUUGUCUGAACUCUUGAAGAAGUCUUGAAAUUCAAACUUUAAUCCUUGAUUGUUGGGGAUGAAAUCUUGAAUUUCUUGUUCAUGAGAGAGGGGUAAGGGUUUAUGUAAGUUAUCUGAUGGAGAAUGAGCAAACAAUGUCCUUUUAGGCGUUAAAAAUCAUGUAUUGUAUGUUUAGGGUAAGGGGUAAAGACCAAAUUUCCCCCUAAACAUUUAGUUGAAACAUAGGAAAAAUGCAGCCGCUGCGGCGCGGAGGCUAGUUUUUGUGAUGGCUUCCGCGGCGCGGCCCUAACGCAGAGGCUUGCUGCCUUCGUGGUCAAAAAUGCCUUGAACACCUUUCAAAAAUUCUAAAAUUCAUCCGGGACACCCCUUUAUCAUCUCUAAACAUGCUUUAACCAAAUAAAUCAAUGUCUCAAUUUUGGGAAGGCCAAAAAUAAAAUUCGUGAAAUCUUGGGGUCUUGAAAUUGACUAAUUCCCUUUUUACUUAGUGUAAAACUUGUGGCAUAGACCGAUUAAACAUGCUACUAAGAUCUGAAAUGUUCCUAUAAUCUUCUGGGAUUAUACGAUGAUGUUUAUGUGGAAAUUAUAAGUGAUUCUGAUCAGCAAAUUUCCAUUCAAAAAAAAAUUCUAGAGGAUCAAAAAAUAUGCUAAUUUCUAUGAUUUAUGCUAUGUGCACAGAAUCUCAAAGAAAUUCACUAUGGAAUAGCAUAUAUAAUCUAGCUAAUAUUAA